AACGAACGCUGGCGGCAGGCCUAACACAUGCAAGUCGAGCGGACCCUUCGGGGUUAGCGGCGGACGGGUGAGUAACGCGUGGGAAUAUGCCCUUCUCUACGGAAUAGUCCUGGGAAACUGGGGGUAAUACCGUAUACGCCCUUUGGGGGAAAGAUUUAUCGGGGAAGGAUCAGCCCGCGUUGGAUUAGGUAGUUGGUGGGGUAAUGGCCUACCAAGCCGACGAUCCAUAGCUGGUUUGAGAGGAUGAUCAGCCACACUGGGACUGAGACACGGCCCAGACUCCUACGGGAGGCAGCAGUGGGGAAUCUUAGACAAUGGGGGCAACCCUGAUCUAGCCAUGCCGCGUGAGUGAUGAAGGCCUUAGGGUUGUAAAGCUCUUUCAGCUGGGAAGAUAAUGACGGUACCAGCAGAAGAAGCCCCGGCUAACUCCGUG
This 433-nucleotide ribosomal RNA is filed under the name uncultured bacterium. RNAcentral's name for it is "partial 16S ribosomal RNA". It matches the Rfam family "Bacterial small subunit ribosomal RNA", at positions 29 to 507 of the family's 1533-position model. The record is from RNAcentral.